GGGCGAUUAGCUCAGUGGGAGAGCACUGCCUUCACACGGCAGGGGUCACUGGUUCGAACCCAGUAUCGCCCACCA
RNAcentral lists this transfer RNA (75 nucleotides) under Chromatiales bacterium. RNAcentral's name for it is "tRNA-Val". It matches the Rfam family "tRNA". Rfam says of the family: Transfer RNA (tRNA) molecules are approximately 80 nucleotides in length. Their secondary structure includes four short double-helical elements and three loops (D, anti-codon, and T loops). Lineage: Bacteria; Pseudomonadati; Pseudomonadota; Gammaproteobacteria; Chromatiales. The record is from RNAcentral. RNAcentral also lists the same sequence under 2 other names.